UUGGCAGCUGCUGGGCCCACGCGCCGGUGGCGGUUUCUUUUUGAAACAAAAAGCGGUAAACGGCCGUGAGCGAGACGGCGGGAAACAGCGGGAAGCGCGUGUCUGAGAAAAGGAGGAGGUGGAAGAGGACGAGGAAAGGGAGUCCAGUCCCACAGAGAGCGGCGGGAGCUGGGCGGAAGUGAAGUCGGAGCGCAAAGCCUGUCGGGAAGGUAUGCUAGAGUUUAUCUAGCACUUAAAGUGGAAGAUGGACUUCACUAUUACAUUCCU
Hemiscyllium ocellatum (epaulette shark) is the source of this 267-nucleotide long non-coding RNA. RefSeq lists it as uncharacterized. The record is from RefSeq and is a predicted model, not a curated record. The transcript is spliced from 3 exons. Lineage: Eukaryota; Metazoa; Chordata; Chondrichthyes; Orectolobiformes; Hemiscylliidae.